UGCGUAGGCGGUUAUUUAAGUAGGAUGUGAAAUCUCCCGGCUCAACCGGGAAACUGCGUUCUAAACUGGAUAACUUGAGUGAGAUAGAGGUGUGCGGAACUUCCGGUGGAGCGGUGAAAUGUGUUGAUAUCGGAGGGAACACCGUUGGCGAAAGCGGCACACUGGGUCUUAACUGACGCUGAGGCACGAAAGCCAGGGGAGCAAACG
Molecule: ribosomal RNA, 207 nt
Filed under: uncultured bacterium
Lineage: Bacteria
Description: partial 16S ribosomal RNA
Rfam family: Bacterial small subunit ribosomal RNA
Source: RNAcentral